CGAGAAUCUAUGGAAAGAGGAUUCGUCCAAUUGAAAUAGAGGACAGUGGCGGACGGGUGAGUAACGCGUGAGGAACCUGCCUUUCAGAGGGGGACAACAGUUGGAAACGACUGCUAAUACCGCAUAACGCGUAGAGGUCGCAUGGCCUUUACGCCAAAGAUUUAUCGCUGAAAGAUGGCCUCGCGUCUGAUUAGCUAGUUGGUGAGGUAACGGCCCACCAAGGCGACGAUCAGUAGCCGGACUGAGAGGUUGAACGGCCACAUUGGGACUGAGAUACGGCCCAGACUCCUACGGGAGGCAGCAGUGGGGAAUAUUGGGCAAUGGGCGCAAGCCUGACCCAACAACGCCGCGUGAAGGAAGAAGGCUUUCGGGUUGUAAACUUCUUUUGUCAGGGACGAGCAGAAGACGGUACCUGACGAAUAAGCCACGGCUAACUACGUGCCAGCAGCCGCGGUAAUACGUAGGUGGCAAGCGUUGUCCGGAUUUACUGGGUGUAAAGGGCGUGUAGCCGGGUCGGCAAGUCAGAUGUGAAAUCCACGGGCUUAACUCGUGAACUGCAUUUGAAACUGUUGAUCUUGAGUAUCGGAGAGGCAAUCGGAAUUCCUAGUGUAGCGGUGAAAUGCGUAGAUAUUAGGAGGAACACCAGUGGCGAAGGCGGAUUGCUGGACGACAACUGACGGUGAGGCGCGAAAGCGUGG
RNAcentral lists this ribosomal RNA (698 nucleotides) under uncultured bacterium. Its description in RNAcentral is "bacterial SSU rRNA". It matches the Rfam family "Bacterial small subunit ribosomal RNA", at positions 63 to 764 of the family's 1533-position model. The record is from RNAcentral.